Molecule: ribosomal RNA, 512 nt
Filed under: uncultured microorganism
Description: bacterial SSU rRNA
Rfam family: Bacterial small subunit ribosomal RNA
Source: RNAcentral
GAGUUUGAUCAUGGCUCAGGAUGAACGCUGGCGGCGUGCUUAACACAUGCAAGUCGAACGGGCUCAUAUUGAAACCUAGUGAUUUAUGAGUUAGUGGCGGACGGGUGAGUAACGCGUGGAAAACCUGCCGUAUACUGGGGGAUAACACUUAGAAAUAGGUGCUAAUACCGCAUAAGCGCACAGCUUCGCAUGAAGUGGUGUGAAAAACUCUGGUGGUAUACGAUGGUUCCGCGUCUGAUUAGCUUGUUGGCGGGGUAAUGGCUCACCAAGGCGACGAUCAGUAGCCGGCCUGAGAGGGUGAACGGCCACAUUGGGACUGAGACACGGCCCAAACUCCUACGGGAGGCAGCAGUGGGGAAUAUUGCACAAUGGGGGAAACCCUGAUGCAGCGACGCCGCGUGAGUGAAGAAGUAUUUCGGUAUGUAAAGCUCUAUCAGCAGGGAAGAAAUAGCGACCUUUGGGUCGCCAGACGGUACCUGAUUAAGAAGCCCCGGCUAACUACGUGCCAGCAG